This 474-nucleotide ribosomal RNA is filed under the name uncultured bacterium. RNAcentral describes it as "bacterial SSU rRNA". It matches the Rfam family "Bacterial small subunit ribosomal RNA", at positions 45 to 498 of the family's 1533-position model. The record is from RNAcentral.
UGGAUUAGGCAUGCAAGUCGAACGUGAACCUUGCUUCGGUGAGGUGAAAGUGGCGAAAGGGUGAGUAAUGCAUAGCCAACCUACCCCCGACACUGGGAUAACCAGGAGAAAUCUUGGCUAAGACCGGAUAUGCUCGCGAAGAUGCAUGUUUUUGCGAGUAAAGGAGGCCUCUUAACAAUGCUUCUGGUUGGGGACGGGACUAUGUUCUAUCAGCUAGUUGGUGAGGUAACGGCUCACCAAGGCGAUGACGGAUAGCCGACCUGAGAGGGUGACCGGCCACACUGGGACUGAGAUACUGCCCAGACUCCUACGGGAGGCUGCAGUCGAGAAUCUUCCGCAAUGGGGGAAACCCUGACGGAGCGACGCCGCGUGCGGGAUGAAGGCCUUCGGGUUGUAAACCGCUGUCACACGUUAUGAAAGAAACGGAGUUAAAAGCUCUGGGUCUUGACAAAGGCGUGGGAGGAAGCCACGGCU